UACGUAGGGGCUAGCGUUAUCCGGAUUUACUGGGCGUAAAGAGCGCGCAGGUGGUUGAUUAAGUCUGAUGUGAAAGCCCACGGCUUAACCGUGGAGGGUCAUCGGAAACUGGUCGACUUGAGUGCAGAAGAGGGAAGUGGAAUUCCAUGUGUAGCGGUGAAAUGCGUAGAGAUAUGGAGGAACACCAGUGGCGAAGGCGGCUUCCUGGUCUGUAACUGACACUGAGGCGCGAAAGCGUGGGGAGCAAGCAGGAUUAGAUA
This 260-nucleotide ribosomal RNA is filed under the name uncultured prokaryote. Its description in RNAcentral is "partial 16S ribosomal RNA". It matches the Rfam family "Bacterial small subunit ribosomal RNA", at positions 524 to 784 of the family's 1533-position model. The record is from RNAcentral.